UACGUAGGGGGCGAGCGUUGUCCGAAGUUACUGGGCGUAAAGCGCGCGUAGGCGGCUUUGCAAGUCGAGUGUGAAAUCCCCAGGCUUAACCUGGGAACUGCAUUCGAGACUGCAUAGCUAGAGUAUGGGAGAGGGAAGUGGAAUUUCAGGUGUAGCGGUGAAAUGCGUAGAUAUCUGAAGGAACAUCAGUGGCGAAAGCGACUUCCUGGACCAAUACUGACGCUCAUGUGCGAAAGCGUGGGGAGCAAACAGG
This 253-nucleotide ribosomal RNA is filed under the name uncultured bacterium. RNAcentral's name for it is "partial 16S ribosomal RNA". It matches the Rfam family "Bacterial small subunit ribosomal RNA", at positions 524 to 776 of the family's 1533-position model. The record is from RNAcentral.